RNAcentral lists this small RNA (698 nucleotides) under Pan troglodytes (chimpanzee). RNAcentral's name for it is "processed transcript". The record is from RNAcentral. Lineage: Eukaryota; Metazoa; Chordata; Mammalia; Primates; Hominidae.
CAAAAAAAAAAAAAAAAAAAAAACUAAGGUUGACUAUGUAUAGUAUUCUUAAUGCUUUUGGUGUUAGCUGGGAAGGCUGAAUGUGCUUAUAUUCUGGUUUCAGACAGAGGACCCCAGUAAGUGCAGUCCUCGGUUUUGGGAGGAGCUCUUUCUCAUGAAGGUGAAUUUAGAGUACCUAGAAGGCAAGCUGGAAUCUCUUGAUGGUGAGGAGUUAAUGAAGAUCAAGGACAAUAUUAAUUGCUUAUUCCAACACUGCAUCCAGGCUCUGGGAGAGGAGCAUCCAAUUCGGGUUGUCAAUGCAUUGCAGGUACAAGGCUGGGAGACUGGGGAAGUCUUGUUUAACAGGAGAAAGGAAUUGUAACACAUCUGUUUGAACUGAGGAACCUAGAGUUGCUCUGAGACCCUGUGCGCACUCAUUCGAGGAGUCCAUCAAAAGAAUAAGUCUACCUCUGGGUUUGACAUUAUCAACAUGCUGAUGGGCUUUGACAAGGCGGAGCUGUGCAUGAAGGUGAGGCAUAAGCUGCAGAUGUGCCUGUGGAUGGCAGCUUCUGACAGCUGUUCCUGGACACUAUCAGCAGACAAAUGUACUCAAAGAUUUGGACUCAGAAAGAUACAGAUGAUUGAAUUUGGCCUUGCAUUUAGAUGUUUUUAUUUCACAGAUUUGCUUUAUCUGAAUAAAGGAAAAUUUUAAAUUCAAA